This 555-nucleotide small RNA is filed under the name Pongo abelii (Sumatran orangutan). Its description in RNAcentral is "retained intron". Lineage: Eukaryota; Metazoa; Chordata; Mammalia; Primates; Hominidae. The record is from RNAcentral.
AAAAAAAAAAUAUAUAUAUAUAUGCAUAUAUGUUUAUGUGUAUUGUAUAUGGUUAUUCUACAAACAAACCAAAAACAUUUUUUUCAGACAAAAUACAAAAUACUCUCCAGAAAGCCAAGAUACCCUUAGUGACCAAUGAGGAGUGCCAGAAGAGAUACAGAGGACAUAAAAUAACCCAUAGGAUGAUCUGCGCCGGCUACAGGGAAGGAGGGAAGGAUGCUUGCAAGGGAGAUUCGGGAGGCCCUCUGUCCUGCAAACACAAUGAGGUCUGGCAUCUGGUAGGCAUCACGAGCUGGGGCGAAGGCUGUGCUCAAAGGGAGCGGCCAGGCGUUUACACCAACGUGGUUGAGUACGUGGACUGGAUUCUGGAGAAAACUCAAGCAGUGUGAACGGGUUCCCAGGGGCCACUGGAGUCCCUGAAGGACCCAGGAUUUGCUGGGAGAGGGUGUGGAGUUCACUGUGCCAGCGUGCUUCCUCCACAGUAACACGCUGAAGGGGCUUGGUGUUUGUAGGAAAAUGCUAGAAGAAAACAAACUGUCACAAGUUGUUAUGUCC